UGGGGAGGGGGGUAAGGGCAGCCCGGAAGACUUUGAAUCUUCAAGUCCUGGUUCGAAUCCAGGCUCCCCAG
RNAcentral lists this transfer RNA (71 nucleotides) under Acidobacteriota bacterium. RNAcentral describes it as "tRNA-Gln". It matches the Rfam family "tRNA". Rfam says of the family: Transfer RNA (tRNA) molecules are approximately 80 nucleotides in length. Their secondary structure includes four short double-helical elements and three loops (D, anti-codon, and T loops). The record is from RNAcentral. Lineage: Bacteria; Pseudomonadati; Acidobacteriota.